GCAGUUGAGCGCUGAAGGUUGGUACUUGUACCGACUGGAUGAGCAGCGAACGGGUGAGUAACGCGUGGGGAAUCUGCCUUUGAGCGGGGGACAACAUUUGGAAACGAAUGCUAAUACCGCAUAAAAACUUUAAACACAAGUUUUAAGUUUGAAAGAUGCAAUUGCAUCACUCAAAGAUGAUCCCGCGUUGUAUUAGCUAGUUGGUGAGGUAAAGGCUCACCAAGGCGAUGAUACAUAGCCGACCUGAGAGGGUGAUCGGCCACAUUGGGACUGAGACACGGCCCAAACUCCUACGGGAGGCAGCAGUAGGGAAUCUUCGGCAAUGGACGAAAGUCUGACCGAGCAACGCCGCGUGAGUGAAGAAGGUUUUCGGAUCGUAAAACUCUGUUGGUAGAGAAGAACGUUGGUGAGAGUGGAAAGCUCAUCAAGUGACGGUAACUACCCAGAAAGGGACGGCUAACUACGUGCCAGCAGCCGCGGUAAUACGUAGGUCCCGAGCGUUGUCCGGAUUUAUUGGGCGUAAAGCGAGCGCAGGUGGUUUAUUAAGUCUGGUGUAAAAGGCAGUGGCUCAACCAUUGUAUGCAUUGGAAACUGGUAGACUUGAGUGCAGGAGAGGAGAGUGGAAUUCCAUGUGUAGCGGUGAAAUGCGUAGAUAUAUGGAGGAACACCGGUGGCGAAAGCGGCUCUCUGGUCUGUAACUGACACUGAGGCUCGAAAGCG
RNAcentral lists this ribosomal RNA (720 nucleotides) under Lactococcus sp. HXF0038. RNAcentral's name for it is "bacterial SSU rRNA". It matches the Rfam family "Bacterial small subunit ribosomal RNA", at positions 57 to 761 of the family's 1533-position model. The record is from RNAcentral. Lineage: Bacteria; Bacillati; Bacillota; Bacilli; Lactobacillales; Streptococcaceae.